Molecule: ribosomal RNA, 373 nt
Filed under: uncultured bacterium
Lineage: Bacteria
Description: bacterial SSU rRNA
Rfam family: Bacterial small subunit ribosomal RNA
Source: RNAcentral
AGCGAACGCUGGCGGCAUGCCUAACACAUGCAAGUCGCACGGUCGGGGGGGUGACCUUCGGCAGUGGCGGACGGGUGAGUAACGCGUAGGGAUCUAUCCUUGGAUGGGGGGACAACCGCGGGAAACCGCGGCUAAUACCGCAUGAUGCCUGAGGGCCAAAGCUCGCGAGAGCGUCUGGGGAGGAGCCUGCGUCCGAUUAGCUUGUUGGUGGGGUAACGGCCCACCAAGGCGUCGAUCGGUAGCUGGUCUGAGAGGAUGAUCAGCCACACUGGGGACUGAGACACGGCCCAGACUCCUACGGGAGGCAGCAGUGGGGAAUAUUGGACAAUGGGCGCAAGCCUGAUCCAGCAAUGCCGCGUGGGUGAAGAAGGUC